This 154-nucleotide non-coding RNA is filed under the name Proteiniborus sp. RNAcentral's name for it is "GlcN6P sequence". It matches the Rfam family "glmS glucosamine-6-phosphate activated ribozyme aptamer". From Rfam's summary of the family: This entry contains a glucosamine-6-phosphate activated ribozyme that is found in the mRNA for GlmS. GlmS is an enzyme that uses fructose-6-phosphate and glutamine to generate glucosamine-6-phosphate. The record is from RNAcentral. Lineage: Bacteria; Bacillati; Bacillota; Clostridia; Eubacteriales.
AUUAAAUACUAAGCGCCAGAACUCAAUAACUUGAGUUGACGAGGACAUGGUUUAUCGAAAAUUCGGCGGGUGCCAUGCGGUGUUACUACCACCGUAAACAGUUGUACAAAACCCAUAAGUGAUUAUGGAGACAAAGACAACUAGGUAGGUUUAA